CUGAAUKCUUUCCUCAUUUCCAUUGCUUUAGUUCCCAUUAUUAACAGUAUAAUUGAAAAUUGGAUGUUUGUGAGACARAACAGUGAAAACAAGUGCACUCUAAAAUAAGGAGGUGAGCAGCRUGCAGUCAUUGUCAUAAUAAAUCAUGAAGUACACAAUUCUGCGAAACUUAAUGGAUUACUAGAGAACAGAGGGGCCUUGGUACAAGUCAAGGAGUUUCAGCAAGCAAAAUGAACUACGGAGAACUGCAAUUUUAUUAAACUGCACACAUUUCUAAGAUGGAUUGUGCAGUUAACUGGCAAAUUGGGCUGGAGUUUGUCUUUCCSAUAUUUAUGGGACUGAAAGUACAUAAGAAGCUUUUCUGCCCCAGAGUCCACUGAGCCC
Molecule: long non-coding RNA, 384 nt
Organism: Dromaius novaehollandiae (emu)
Lineage: Eukaryota; Metazoa; Chordata; Aves; Casuariiformes; Dromaiidae
Source: Ensembl